CCUACGGGUGGCAGCAGUGGGGAAUAUUGCACAAUGGGGGAAACCCUGAUGCAGCGACGCCGCGUGAAGGAAGAAGUAUCUCUGUAUGUAAACUUCUAUCAGCAGGGAAGAAAAUGACGGUACCUGACUAAGAAGCCCCGGCUAACUCCGUGCCAGCAGCCGCGGCAAUACGUAGGGGGCAAGCGUUAUCCGGAUUUCCUGGGUGUAAAGGGAGCGUAGUCGGAAGAGCAAGUCUGAUGUGAAAGGCUGGGGCUUAACCCCAGGACUGCAUUGGAAACUGUUGUUCUAGAGUGCAGGAGAGGUAAGCGGAAUUCCGAGUGUAGCGGUGAAAUGCGUAGAUAUUAGGAGGAACACCAGUGGCGAAGGCGGCUUACUGAACGGUAACUGACGUUGAGGCUCGAAAGCGUGGGGAGCAAACAGGAUUAGAUACCCUGGUAGUC
RNAcentral lists this ribosomal RNA (440 nucleotides) under uncultured bacterium. Its description in RNAcentral is "partial 16S ribosomal RNA". It matches the Rfam family "Bacterial small subunit ribosomal RNA", at positions 338 to 795 of the family's 1533-position model. The record is from RNAcentral.